CUCAUAAGGUUGCUACUAGAACUAAAACAAAUUGUUAGAAGUGUGCAACAAAUUGGCCAGAUGUCGCUGAGGCAUAAAUUCUCUCUUAAAAGUAAGUGCUGGGUCAUUUGUGCAUGAGGACAAAGGCAACUUCAACUUGAUAUUUCUAUCAUCCCUGCUGUGUGAAGAGUCCUUUUCCUGGUUUAUAACAUCAAUCACUCUCGCAAUAAAUCUUCGUAGUGGAUAUGGUCAUUUAAAUCUCCACCUGCACAAACAACAGAAAAUAAGAGAGCCCAUAAAUCUCUACACCGUUUACAGCAUAGGGGGAAAGCAAACAAGACCCUGCUAACAAAACAAAAUGUUAGAGGUUAGUGAAUUCCCAGCUGAGCCCAGGAUUAGAGAUAUGGUAUCUUAACGUAGGAGAGGGGUGCAGAUUCCGAGCCAAAAGCUCAGAAUCCGCUCUUGCAUUUUGCUCUAGCCCCUCAUUGUCAAUGCUUAAUUGCAAGGAAAUAAA
Orcinus orca (killer whale) is the source of this 493-nucleotide long non-coding RNA. RefSeq lists it as uncharacterized. NCBI's taxonomy places the organism in Eukaryota, Metazoa, Chordata, Mammalia, Artiodactyla, Delphinidae. The transcript has 4 exons. The record is from RefSeq and is a predicted model, not a curated record.